AUGCAUCAUCAUAAUUUAUCGAAGAUUAACUAUGCUUCGAAUCAUUUUUUGUUUUUCUAUUAAGUUGCACCUACAGUUAACAUUACACAACAUUCUGGAAAAUCUCAAAGAACGCACAGAUUGAGGAAGCAACAACAACGACAAGGAGGAGGAAAGAAGCUCAAAAGGUCUAAAUUUCGUUACUUGAAUCGAACAAUUCAGGUUAUGAUACAACAAUGGCAUGCUAAACAAUGCACAGAAGCAGAGAAUUAACUAGCUGGAGGUGGGUUUUUGUACGUCUCC
Molecule: long non-coding RNA, 282 nt
Filed under: Linum usitatissimum (flax)
Lineage: Eukaryota; Viridiplantae; Streptophyta; Magnoliopsida; Malpighiales; Linaceae
Description: long non-coding RNA (LUSI_LNC001109)
Source: RNAcentral